GCCAAGUGAACCGCUGAGCGCCAGAAUGGACCGUUGAGCGUCUAGAGCGAUUAGAGGGAAACCACUCAGCGGCAAAACUGACUGCUGAGCGGUCAAAGCUGCUAGAGGGAAACCGUUGAGCAGUGAACUUAGGCACUUGGGCGGUUGUCUGUUUUUAUUAGUUAGAUUCUGUAAUCUUUCUGUUAUCUUUUUGGGCUUAUAUAUAGCUCCAGU
Molecule: long non-coding RNA, 213 nt
Filed under: Vigna radiata
Lineage: Eukaryota; Viridiplantae; Streptophyta; Magnoliopsida; Fabales; Fabaceae
Description: long non-coding RNA (VRAD_LNC013001)
Source: RNAcentral